Schistosoma curassoni is the source of this 46-nucleotide non-coding RNA. Lineage: Eukaryota; Metazoa; Platyhelminthes; Trematoda; Strigeidida; Schistosomatidae. The record is from Rfam.
GCACUGCUGAGGAGUCCCACAACAGGACGAGACGGCCGUCCAGUGC